Non-coding RNA from Anas platyrhynchos (mallard), 887 nucleotides. The record is from RefSeq and is a predicted model, not a curated record. Lineage: Eukaryota; Metazoa; Chordata; Aves; Anseriformes; Anatidae.
GGGUUUUGGUCUUUAGGUAGGUAUCAGUUGGGAGGAAAGGUCUUAUCUCUCUGGUUCCAUGAAGUUGCUUCUUGGUGUUGUCAUCUUUCACCAUUUUUCUCAGCUCUGGUAACCCAACCUGGCAGCAGCCCAGAGGCCAUUAAUACUUGACUGGAGAGGAAGACUUGGCAGUGAAUUGACAGAAGGCACUUGAAUAACUUGUACUUCUGGAGUCUUCCUGAGUAACUCUAAACAUAUUCCUUCUUUCGUGAAAAGGUGGCUGGUUACAAUCUUGAGUCUAAGGGAAGAGAUAUUGGAGAAUUGGUGGAUACUGAAUUCUUGGCCCACAGCUUGAAUAUAGAAAUUGCAAGUCUGAGAAAACAAGUCUGGAGCUGAAAAUACUUCCCUGCAGUCCUGUGUGCUAAGAACAGAGAUUUGGCAAGUCAAAAUUAAAAUUAUUUUGAACAAGAUGUUUUGUCAUGAGCUAAUGGCCUGGGUGACCUUAAUAAGAAGAGUACACUUAUAUGCUUGAGGUGGAUGCAAAUGACUGAAAGUGCCCAGACUUCAGACUGCCUCUUCCUUGUUAGCCCUCCGACCUGUGGAGGUGGACAGCAUUCAAGAAAGAAGGCAAGCUGCAACCCAAUGAAUGACAAGAUUUCCUUCUCAUCCAUGGACGUGAGUGCCUCAGCUGAGCAGCUGAACUAAGAGUUUGGAGUGAGUCCUGAGAAGGGAAUUUAGUUAUGAUUUCACCCAUGUGAGCAGGAGUCCAGCAAACUGUCAAAAAAGGAAGUAAGACUCUAACAGCUGCUUAAGGCGAGUUCAGAAACAAAGGAGAUUUGUAACCACAACACUUUGUGCAGAAUAUGUUUCUACAGAGUGAAAAAUAAACAUGCCUCCUUCAGAAACUU